CACACUGUCUCCACCCUUCUUUUUUUAGAGAAUAAUGCUAAAGUUAUUACAAUAUGUAUUUCUUAUUGUGUGCAUUUUUGUUUCUUUGUUUGUUUUAGUCUCUGUAAUGUUUUCAUUUUUGAUACAGUGUGGUUAACCUCCCCGUGGUUCUUGAAUGGAUGGAAUCAAUCUAUUUAGGGUCUAAGGUGUAUAUGAUCAUUGAACAUUUACUGAGCACAGGACAGCUCCCUGCAUGACAUGGCCAAACACUGUAUCUAUUAGAAUGGGUGAAUUUAAGUUAACCACACAAGGGAUGAAUAAAAGUUAUCUUUUAACAGAAGCAAGGUGCAAUGGAAUUACCGGGGACCAUACCAUCUUCUCUCAGUUUGAUAGUCAGAGUUGUAGUCAGGCUGUAGCUAAAUCUGCUUUAGAUACAGACAGGAGAUGAUCAUGUGUCUUUGUCAUGGCUGGCUGCAGGUGAUGAGAGCAGCUGAAGUAUGGCAGGUUUUCAGUUCGGAGUACACCGAAGACAAUGACAUUCAAUAUUAUGGUUGGCUGAGAGCAAAUGUGUCAGGGACCCUUCUGUGGUGGCCAGGGAUGUCCCCCAUGGUAUUCACCUCUUACAUGAGGAAGUAGGUCCUCUCCAGCAUCCCUCUUCUUUCUCCAGCGGUUUUCACGCAGGGCAAGGGUGCGUCGACGUCAUGACGCUAAUGAUGUCACAUCUCGCCGAAACGUUCGGAUUUGAAUGUUUUGGGGGCAUGGCUACCAUCCUAACGAGCCACAUUGCCCCGUUGUGGUUCAUGUUUGUCCCCUAUAGUGCUUUAUCUGUAUUUUUUAUUCUAGCUUUUUACUUCGGCUCUGUUUUUGAAUACUCUUCAUUCUAUACUUCUUUGACCCGGCUUUAGCAUUCUCGUUUAUCCUGAUCUCUGUACUCCUUGACCUGGGCUUGAAUUUGACUACUCCUUGUUCUUAUAUGUUAGCCCGGCCAUUCUAAGGUCCAGUAUAUGUUACCUUUUGUCUACAUUCUGCGUGUUGGAUCCAAUUCUAUUACUGACAAGAUGUUCUUUUCAGUCCUAGUUGAACUCAGGUGCUGAAUGGGAAAUAAAGAAAGUGCUAUUUAUUAAAUAUCUUUUAUCUCUUGUACAUAUCUAGGAUGCAGGCACUGAAUUAGUUAAAUGUGAGACAGUUUCUCAUUUAACCUUCCUCUGGCAUCACUAUUUCUGACAUAAUUAUUUC
RNAcentral lists this long non-coding RNA (1215 nucleotides) under Pelobates cultripes (western spadefoot toad). Lineage: Eukaryota; Metazoa; Chordata; Amphibia; Anura; Pelobatidae. The record is from RNAcentral.